GCAUAAGUAGGAUAAUCUUUACCUGUCUUUUUCUUGGAGGGCAGGUUGGAACAUGAUGAUUUGAGUUCCCAUGAUACGUGAUUAACAUCUGUGUAUAAUCAAGGCUUGCAACACCCUGAUUGCUCCUAUCUUAU
Hippopotamus amphibius kiboko is the source of this 134-nucleotide small nucleolar RNA. RefSeq annotates it as U8 small nucleolar RNA. Lineage: Eukaryota; Metazoa; Chordata; Mammalia; Artiodactyla; Hippopotamidae. The transcript has a single exon. The record is from RefSeq and is a predicted model, not a curated record.